GACGAACGCUGGCGGCGUGCUUAACACAUGCAAGUCGAACGGAAAGACCCUGCUUUUGUGGGGUGCUCGAGUGGCGAACGGGUGAGUAACACGUGAGUAACCUGCCCUUGACUUUGGGAUAACUUCAGGAAACUGGGGCUAAUACCGGAUAGGAGCUCCUGCUGCAUGGUGGGGGUUGGAAAGUUUCGGCGGUUGGGGAUGGACUCGCGGCUUAUCAGCUUGUUGGGGGGGUAGUGGCUUACCAAGGCUUUGACGGGUAGCCGGCCUGGGAGGGUGACCGGCCACAUUGGGACUGAGAUACGGCCCAGACUCCUACGGGAGGCAGCAGUGGGGAAUAUUGCACAAUGGGCGGAAGCCUGAUGCAGCAACGCCGCGUGCGGGAUGACGGCCUUCGGGUUGUAAACCGCUUUCGCCUGUGACGAAGCGUGAGUGACGGUAAUGGGUAAAGAAGCACCGGCUAACUACGUG
RNAcentral lists this ribosomal RNA (468 nucleotides) under uncultured bacterium. RNAcentral's name for it is "partial 16S ribosomal RNA". It matches the Rfam family "Bacterial small subunit ribosomal RNA", at positions 28 to 507 of the family's 1533-position model. The record is from RNAcentral.